This 72-nucleotide transfer RNA is filed under the name Podarcis lilfordi (Lilford's wall lizard). It matches the Rfam family "tRNA". Rfam says of the family: Transfer RNA (tRNA) molecules are approximately 80 nucleotides in length. Their secondary structure includes four short double-helical elements and three loops (D, anti-codon, and T loops). The record is from Rfam by way of RNAcentral. Lineage: Eukaryota; Metazoa; Chordata; Lepidosauria; Squamata; Lacertidae.
AGGAAUGUAGCUCAGUGGUAGAAUAUCUGCAUUGCAUGCAGAAGUUCCCAGGUUCAAUUCCCAGCAUCUCCU